AGAUUGAACGCUGGCGGCAGGCCUAACACAUGCAAGUCGAGCGGUAGAGAGGUGCUUGCAUCUCUUGAGAGCGGCGGACGGGUGAGUAAUGCCUAGGAAUCUGCCUAGUGGUGGGGGAUAACGUUCGGAAACGGACGCUAAUACCGCAUACGAUCCAAGGAUGAAAGCGGGGGACCGUAAGGCCUCGCGCGACUGGAGCGGCUGAUAUCAGAUUAGCUUGUUGGUGAGGUAAAAGCUCACCAAGGCGACGAUCUGUAGCUGGUUUGAGAGAACGACCAGCCACACUGGGACUGAGACACGGCCCAGACUCCUACGGGAGCAGCAGUGGGGAAUUUUGGACAAUGGGCGAAAGCCUGAUCCAGCAAUGCCGCGUGCAGGAAGAAGGCCUUCGGUUGUAAACUGACUUUGUACGGAGCGAAAAGGUCUGCCUAAUACGGCGGACCCAUGACGUAACCGUAAGAAUAAGCAACCGGACUAACUACCGUAGCCGAGCAGACCG
This 499-nucleotide ribosomal RNA is filed under the name uncultured soil bacterium. RNAcentral's name for it is "bacterial SSU rRNA". It matches the Rfam family "Bacterial small subunit ribosomal RNA", at positions 26 to 526 of the family's 1533-position model. The record is from RNAcentral.